CGGAGGCAGAGGAGAAUUCGAGGUCGAGGAAGUUAUCGUCGGCGGUGGAGAACAAAUCGUCAUCCAUUAGAGAAGGGACAAGAGCUAGGGUUUUGAGGAAGAAAGAGCGAGCGAGGGAUUUGCAGAGUCGGAAAGUGGAGAGAGAAAAGUAAGAAAGCUUGAGAGAGAGGAAGCGGGUGGAUUCGGUGAUUAGCGAGAGACGCAGCUGCUGUGCGAGACGGUUCAUAGAGACAUC
RNAcentral lists this unclassified non-coding RNA (235 nucleotides) under Hevea brasiliensis (rubber tree). The record is from RNAcentral. Lineage: Eukaryota; Viridiplantae; Streptophyta; Magnoliopsida; Malpighiales; Euphorbiaceae.